This 460-nucleotide long non-coding RNA is filed under the name Callithrix jacchus (white-tufted-ear marmoset). RNAcentral describes it as "lncRNA (ENSCJAG00000070411.1)". The record is from RNAcentral. Lineage: Eukaryota; Metazoa; Chordata; Mammalia; Primates; Cebidae.
CUCAAAAUGAGUAGGUAGGAAGGUAAAAUUUGGUUCCAAACACCUCUUUCUCUCCUUAAUGGUCCACAAGGAUUUAGCUUCUAAAUUCCUGUUGAUCAAAUUAUAGCAUAACCAAAUUUUGUUGGAAAUGGAGUCUUCAAUAUGACACUUGAUUAACUAUUUUUCCCAAAGCUUUGUCUUUCAGUCUUCGGGUGGAGUUUAGAGGAGGAGAGUUUACCAGUGUUGGAGUACAUUAGAAUUUGUUGGUUGGACCUAUUCAUGCGUCUUCACCAGCAGCUGGAGCAUCUCCACCCUUGGUAUUUCACGGAAUACUAUGCAGCCAUAAAAAUGAUGAGUUUGUGUCCUUUGCAGGGACAUGGAUGAACCUGGAAACCAAGCACCACAUGUUCUCACUCACAGCCGUAGCUGAGGCCAUCAUCAGAACAUCCCUGGACUAUUCUAACAGCCCCUGGAAGGGUCC